This 274-nucleotide ribosomal RNA is filed under the name uncultured bacterium. RNAcentral's name for it is "partial 16S ribosomal RNA". It matches the Rfam family "Bacterial small subunit ribosomal RNA", at positions 523 to 796 of the family's 1533-position model. The record is from RNAcentral.
AUACGGAGGGUGCAAGCGUUACUCGGAAUCACUGGGCGUAAAGGACGCGUAGGCGGGUUGUCAAGUCAGAUGUGAAAUCCUACAGCUUAACUGUAGAACUGCAUUUGAAACUGGCAACCUAGAGUAUGGGAGGGGGAGAUGGAAUUAGUGGUGUAGGGGUAAAAUCCGUAGAUAUCACUAGGAAUACCGAAAGCGAAGGCGAUCUCCUGGAACAUAACUGACGCUAAGGCGUGAAAGCGUGGGGAGCAAACGGGAUUAGAAACCCCGGUAGUCC